Molecule: long non-coding RNA, 317 nt
Organism: Amblyraja radiata (thorny skate)
Lineage: Eukaryota; Metazoa; Chordata; Chondrichthyes; Rajiformes; Rajidae
Exons: 3
Source: RefSeq, a predicted model, not a curated record
GUUUUUCUUUAUUUUCCAGGUCAGUGUUUCAUCGGGAUUUUGCUUCCUAUUCCAAAUUGCCCUGGAGAAGGUGGUGCAACAGUUCAGGAUCGACAAUAAACACGUGUUGUCACCGAAGCCCACAUCCUGUGAAUGAACCAGUGAUCGAUGUUCAGAACUGACAUCUUGCAGUGAGGAGGAGCGAUCCAUUAUCACAGUUCAAUGCGAUGGAGGUGGGUUUGCGCAAUUGAAAUGUUUCAGGAUCCAGGUAACAAAGAAUGCAACGUGAGGAAAUUGUGAAAAUGUCAACAGCUCAAGUUCCAGAUCAUUUUUGCGGG